CCUACGGGUGGCUGCAGUGGGGAAUAUUGGACAAUGGGCGAAAGCCUGAUCCAGCCAUGCCGCGUGUGUGAAGAAGGCCUUCGGGUUGUAAAGCACUUUCAGUGGGGAAGAAAGCCUUGGGGCUAAUACCCUCGAGGAAGGACAUCACCCACAGAAGAAGCACCGGCUAACUCCGUGCCAGCAGCCGCGGUAAUACGGAGGGUGCGAGCGUUAAUCGGAAUUACUGGGCGUAAAGCGCGCGUAGGCGGUCUGAUAAGCCGGUUGUGAAAGCCCCGGGCUCAACCUGGGAACGGCAUCCGGAGCUGUCAGGAUAGAGUGCAGGAGAGGAAGGUAGAAUUCCCGGUGUAGCGGUGAAAUGCGUAGAGAUCGGGAGGAAUACCAGUGGCGAAGGCGGCCUUCUGGACUGACACUGACGCUGAGGUGCGAAAGCGUGGGUAGCAAACAGGAUUAGAUACCCCGGUAGUC
RNAcentral lists this ribosomal RNA (465 nucleotides) under Vreelandella stevensii. RNAcentral describes it as "partial 16S ribosomal RNA". It matches the Rfam family "Bacterial small subunit ribosomal RNA", at positions 338 to 795 of the family's 1533-position model. Lineage: Bacteria; Pseudomonadati; Pseudomonadota; Gammaproteobacteria; Oceanospirillales; Halomonadaceae. The record is from RNAcentral.